UCCAAUAAAAGUUGAUUAAGUAAGGCGC
RNAcentral lists this small RNA (28 nucleotides) under Bombyx mori (domestic silkworm). RNAcentral describes it as "ovarian small RNA-26561". The record is from RNAcentral. Lineage: Eukaryota; Metazoa; Arthropoda; Insecta; Lepidoptera; Bombycidae.